Molecule: non-coding RNA, 9987 nt
Organism: Xyrichtys novacula (pearly razorfish)
Lineage: Eukaryota; Metazoa; Chordata; Actinopteri; Labriformes; Labridae
Source: the annotation of a GenBank genome assembly
UUCAGAUUGUCUCCUCGGGCGAUGGGGGGAUGGGAGGAGAGGGGAAGCCUUCGCCACAUUCCUUCACUGACACGCUCCUCUCUGCUUUUCUUCUUCUUCUUCAGCGUUCAUCGCCGUUGUUGUUGCGUUCGUUUUGAGGGGGGCAGGGUGGCGAGUCCUCUCAGCUCGAAACCGUGUCAGAGGAUGUGGACGAGAACUCGACCUUCAGAAACCAGAUUAAAAAUGACCUUUUACUCGCCAUCAGCUGUCGAGACGCCCGGUCAGAUCUCUGUGACGUGUUUGGUUGUGGAGGUCGUGGGGUCGCUCACCUGUUUCCUGUUUAUUAGUCAGUCUGUUAACGUUCACACAGCCCUGCUUUAAUCAACAUGAGGAGACCAGAGUCAGGGACCCUCCAGUAAGAUGAAACCUGAUUGGUCCCUGUCAGCAGGUCUGAUGGUCUGAUGGUCCAACCAGUGACAUCACACGAUCUGAUUGGCUGUGGGUCAACAUCACAUGACUCACACACUUUAAACUUUGGAUGUGACGUCAUUUCCAGCCCCGACUUCUGACUUCCGAGGUCUCUCAAACGCAGCGUAUGGUAGUCAGUUUUGACCUGUGUCCGCCAGUACGGCAACUCCACUGAGACAAACUACCUCACAGCGAGGAAACUCCGGCUGUAAACUACCUGACAUACAGCGGAUCGGGAUUAAUGAACGCUGUCAUACAGUCUGGUCCCUACAGCAGCUUGAAACCCUGAGAUUUAGAGCUCCCCCUGCUGACCGGCUGCAGAACGGGUCAUAAAUUCUGCCAACAGAGACGCAAAGAUUCGAUCUGCACGUCUCAUAAAUUCGGGACGUUUUCUUCGUGAGCGUGGACGUUUAAAAUCCGACAGUCGAGUUUAAUUGAGAGUUUAAAAGUAAAUUAUAGUUUUUAUAAAUAUUUCCCUCCACAGAAACCGAAGGAGGCGAAUCACAGAGAGACGAAGUGUUUGGAGAGGAAGACUGAUUUACCUGCAGGUUCAAAUUACAGACGGUGUCAUAAUUGUUAGUGCGUGUCGGGGUGUGUGUGUGUGUGUGUGUGUGUGUGUGUGCUGCCAGUACAAUGAUUGGGGUUAUCCAUUAUUGAUGAUGUCCUGAUGAGAUCAAUCAAGCCUGAGUUUUCUCGUCUUUUGGCUGCUGAAGCUGAUAAUAACGCCGUUAUGACAUACUAAUCGUCAUGUCAUGAAUAUUUAAAUCACAGGGAACACACGCUCCAUAUUCAUGACCUCUCCGUGUUUUUGUUGUGCUUUUUUUUCUCCUGCCGUCUGGAGAGACACCCCCCAUCAUGAUUCUCCCUCUUCACUCUUUCAUUAUCGAGCCGCUCAUGUCUUCAUCUUCUUCUCUGUGUUUUAAACUCUGGAAGCUCCUCGUCAGUUUGCACGCCGGCGCUCUCCUCCUCAGCCGUGACCAGACGUCCACAGAGGACCGAACCACAUCUCUGCAGCAUCCCCAUCUCUUCUUCUCCUCUUCUUCUUCUGCUGCUGCUGUAUUGUUGUUUUAUUUACCUCUGAGACAAAGAGCAUAUUUAUUCAUGACUCACACAAAGUGCCUGUAAAAUAAACAUUUGUUUCCUCCUAAUGAAAAGCGUGUUUCUGAAAUGAGUUGUUUUGUUUCCUGCUCGACCCCGAAUAACUCGCUCUGGAUAAAACAAACGUGUUUGUUAAUAAAAAGGCAAUAAUGCGAUGGCUUACAGUGUAAAUGCAUUUGUUCCAGCAACUAUCCUGUGGAGGCGCAUCAGUAAUAAUUCAUAAACAAAAGAGCUAACUGUGUUCAUAAUUCAUAAGAGGAGAAACAUAUACACUCCAGUCGACGACGACGCUGCUGCAGCUCGCUGGGCCGGCGUGCGGCAAACGAAGUGUCCUAAAUUAGAGUUUGACGAGAAGAAACACGAGGAUGUUUUUUUUUUUUAAAGAGGGAAAAAAGUUUAAAAAGUUAUUAAAAAAAUAAUAAUUCAACAAAAUCUGUAAAAACUUUAAAAUUUCCUGCUGCUGAAAAACUAAAACUCACGAUUCUUAAAGACUAUAAACAUGUAAAUAUGUUAUCAGACAGACACGGACGGACCGACGCUCAGAUCACAGGUGUGUGUGUGUGUGCAUGAAAGUGUGUGUGUGCAUUGUGUAAUAAAUACUCUUUAAAACACUCACACAUCAGUUCAUAAUAAUAAUAAUAAUAAUAAUAAUAAUAAUAAGAUCGUCGUUUAGUUUCUCCUCUUAGAUUUCUGUGUUUGUCUUUAGUUUGUUUCUGUUUCUCUGGGUCUGAAGCUGCUGUCUGCUAACACACACACACACACACACACACACACACACACACACACACACACACACACCCAUCACCCCCUACUCCUGAUAGGCCAGAGGGGUUCCAUUAGCCCAGACCACCUGCUGUGAAACACCCACUCAUCCUCUCUCCCUUCACUCGCUCACACACACAUGUCCACACACACACACACACACACACACACACACACAUGUCCACACACACACUCAAGCUCACUCUCACGCACUUGUGCAGAAACCUCCCGUCCUCCCUGACUCACAGUUUCUGUCUGCCGAGUAUCAAACUACUAAAACAUGGAGUCUGUUUUUAAUGUUCUUCUUACUUUACAGCCUUAAAAUAAGUGUUUGUGUUUCUACUGCAGCCAAAGGAAGAUUAUCUUAUAUAAAAUAAUAUUAUAAUAAAGAAUUUAUGUUUCUAAAAACUGAAAAUCUGAGAGAAAUGUUUGAUUUCAUCGUUUCACUCGAUGUCAGUAAAAUAAUUUCAACAAUCUCAGGAAGACUCUGUCCUUCAGUCCUUAAACAUUUAUGCGUUUACCUGCUGAGAGGAGUCGUAUUUCAGAGACUGAGGGUCUGUGUUUACACUGUUAAGUAACAGUGAAAACUGCACCUCACUGAGGGCCGUGCAGAGAGAGACCGCAACGACCGAACCAAAGAGUGUCGGGACACAGACAUCGAUCAGAUACAGAGAAACUUCUGUCCAAACCUCCUCCUUCUCCUCCUUCUUCUCCUCUUGUGUCCUCCUUCCUUGUCCUUGAAUUUCAUUUCUCUGCACCCCUCCUCCUCCCUCUCUCCCUCCCUCUCACGCCCCUCCUCGGAUCAGCAGCCGUGGAGAAGACGAGGCGAUGCGCUGCAAUUACUCUAAUUGGUUGUGACUUCUUCAUUUACAUGACAAGUGCACGGCGGUCCUGGGAACCAACGGCCUGCUUUCUGCACCCUGUCGCAGCUCUGGUCAGCCCGGGACCUCCGUCCUGUGAGCUCCAAGAGGGGAGGGGGGGACUAUGAGGAGACAAAGGGGGUCUGGCAUUGGAUGGUUUGGGGGUUCCUCGUGGGUGCAGGGGUCCCAGACCGCAGGAGUAGGUGAAGGUUGUGGAGUGAUCAGGAGGAGGACUCUGAGGAUCUGACUGGUGAGAGUUUUGUGAGAAAAGUGGUGAUGAUGAGAAAAGACGAGACAGCAGAUCAAGUUCAGACGCUCGUCCAGAUCUGAGGCUAAACCCUGAUCCUGAAGUCCCCGUGUCCCCGGGUUAGGGGGACUUGGGGGAGUUUUACUCCUUCUGGGGGGUUGAGGGUGGUGGGAUUGUUGGCUGGACGCUGAACAACAAUGUUGUCUGCUUCUCAGCAUUCCUCCUGCUCAUCGUCACGCUGCUGCUGCCACCUCCACCGCCGCCGCCGCCGCCGCCGCCGCCACCCCAACAGGGCAGCAAUCUCAAACUGCGAAACUUCUCAUUAGCGUGGCUGCUGCGCACAAAUGCCUGUACACACACCAACCCUCUGUCUGUGUGUGUGUGAGUGAGUGUGUGUUCUGCAGUGUUAGUUUAAGCAUGAUGAGUGUACUCAGCUGAGCCAUUCUUAUGCUAAUCCAGGAGUGAGGUAUUCACUCUGGUGGGCGGCUCUCAUGUUUGCUUUGCAGAUAAAAAGGAGGUUUAUUACCAGCUAAAGUUCACUUGUCAAGACUAAUCUCAUUUAAACAGCCAGAGAGCCUGAACACACACACACACACACACACACACACACACACACACACACACACACACACACACACACACACACACACACACACACAUUACUCAGUAUGUCUGCAGUAAAUCACGGUUUCUUUGAGAACAUCUACACCUCCAUCUACUGUGAUCAAGAAGGAGUGAAUCAAACUCACCGACAUGAAACUACAAAUCAUCGAGAUUUUUAUGGUUUUCAGAUGAUUUCAAACCAACUUUGUCCAACAGGUUAGUCACAUGACUCUGGAGUGGGAAUCAACGCAUGGAAAGGACAACUGGACUUAGUCGGAAACAUCUAAACUGGACUUAGUUGAGACGUUUCGAACUAAGUCCAGUUGUCCUUCCCAUUUAAAAUUAGAAAUCACUCAGUCCGUUUCCAUGACACUCAAGAAAACUGAAUUAUCGCCUUAUUCCGAUAAAGACCGGACAACUGAAGGUCAUGUAAACACCUUAGUCCGACUGUAAUCAGAGUUUGAGAACUCCGAUUAAGACACCAAGAUUUGAUUUUCUCUACCAUGUAACCAGCGUAGUCGGAGUAUGAAGCCACGCCCCCGUAACCCCGUAACAAAACCCCCAGAGUAGAGGAGUAGCGUUGGUCUCAUCUUUAGAAAAAGUAGCGCGUCCAUCAUGUCGGACAAAAACAACGCUGUACGAUGCUCCAUCUUCUUGUUUCUCCAAAAUGCCCAGCAGCAGUUGUAGACACUUCUGAAUACGAGGACAAGGAGAGAGUCUGAUUCAGAGAAAAAGACGAAUUAUGAGUUUAGUCGAUUAAACUGUGACUGUAAAUGUACUGACUGACAGCUCAGAGAAUCACGAUCAAUCACGUCUAUUACUUAAAAUAUUUUAAUCACCUUUGAAUAAAAAACUUCUCAGAAAUGUCCUCCAUCUUUGACGGAAGAUAAAUGUUCACAGACACCAUCCAAAGGUUACUGUAGUUCAUCAUCAGCUGUUUGUUAACUGGUUCGUUGGACUGAAAAUGCUUCCCUUCCCUUUCCUUUAUUCGGCAGAGUCCGAUCUUCAGUCGAUGUCUCGGCUCGGACUUUAAACAGAGACCAGAUCUUUCCAACACUCAGACUCGGUCCUUCACUGACAGAUUUUGUAUUUUGAUGAGGAGUUGUUCUCGCUCCUCCUGGGGGAUCCUGAGGCGUUCCCAGGCCAGAUGAGAUUAUAUUCCCUGCAGCAUGUUCAGCGUAAACCCCGGGGCUGAGACCAGUUGGACAUGCCUGGAAAACCUCCAAAACAGAGAAGGGGGACCAGGAGGCACGCUGAUCUGAUGCCAAAACCACCUCAACCCUCUCUUUGAGCCGCUCCACUCAGAGCUGCAUCCAUAUGUCUGAGGUUAGGGUCUGACGCUGUGAGCGUGCCCCGAGUUUUCACUCAUGAAGCUGUGCCAACGCCAUGAUGGUUAUCACAGAGCCUCACUGAUGGUUUAUGUGGUCAUCUGAAGAUUUAGAAACAAUCAGGUAUCAACAUUUCUGACAGAGGCUAAGGUAAGCAGCAGGCCGGUCCGUUAUUCCCAAUUUUCAUGGCUCCGGAAGAGCGGCGAUUUUUGUUGUCCGUGAAUUCCUUCUGGGUCUGUUUAAGAGGCGAAUUUCAUGGUGGAUAACAGACAGUGGUAAUCUGAGAACUCACAAGAACCCACGGAGUCUCUAUGAAGACUGACACAUAGACAUAUAAGCAGUAGAUUGUGUCCUUCCAGAGGAGGAAAUCUACUUCUAGAAUCAGCAUCUCCUCAUCCAUGGUGUCAUCGGGGUGAAAUGACGUCUAAAAACCUUUCACUUGUUCGUCUCCGCCCGUUUGCAUGGUGUGAAAUACGAUCCUCCUGAAACACGGAGUGUUUUAUUUUGAAAAGAAGUUGGAUGUUUUAUUUUGAAAAGAAGCCGGAUGUUUUAUUUUGUGUCUGUGCCCGACUUCCUUUCCAGCACGGGUUAAUCUGUACUGAAUUUAUCCGCCAUGCUCCGGCGUCCAGAAAAAAUAGAACUCUUGUGAUCAGCUGAGGAGUCCGGCGAUCCGCAGAGGAACGGAAAGAAGUCGGUGUAAAUUGACACGUUAACUUGAAUGGUUACGAUCAGCUACGAUCGGAGGAUACGACCUUUUAGGAGAUGUUCCGGUGAAAUUUGGGGUCACCAAGACAACAAUAAACUCUGAAGACAUGAAACUGUUUCAGUCUGCCCCUGCUGGAUGUUUCAGGAACUUCCUCCAACCAGUCGGUUCAGGCUUAUCGGACCGUGAUUGGCUCUCAUGACCAACAAAUAAAACACGAUCUGACUUCCAGCACCGUGUAAACUCAGAUUAACCCUUCACACUGGUUUCAGGUUUUAAAAAUCAAGAUAAUAUAAAAAUCAUAGAUCUUUACACUGGUGAGGACCAUUGGCUUUUGGAGGACAUAAAAAGAUCUCCAAACAAACUCCUGUCAAUCAUGUCGAAAAACUCCUCACAGGAGCUUUAACUGCAAAUAGAUCUCUCACAUAGAUCACAGCUCUAUAAUAGAAGCUGUAGAACAUGUUCAUGUAGAUCUCUCACAUAGAUCACAGCUCUAUAAUAGAAGCUGUAGAACAUGUUCAUGUAGAUCUCUCACAUAGAUCACAGCUCUAUAAUAGAAGCUGUAGAACAUGUUCGUGUAGAUCUCUCACAUAGAUCACAGCUCUAUAAUAGAAGCUGUAGAACAUGUUCAUGUAGAUCUCUCACAUAGAUCACAGCUCUAUAAUAGAAGCUGUAGAACAUGUUCAUGUAGAUCUCUCACAUAGAUCACAGCUCUAUAAUAGAAGCUGUAGAACAUGUUCAUGUAGAUCUCUCACAUAGAUCACAGCUCUAUAGUAGAAGCUGUAGAACAUGUUCAUGUAGAUCCCUCACAUAGAUCACAGCUCUAUAGUAGAAGCUGUAGAACAUGUUCAUGUAGAUCUCUCACAUAGAUCACAGCUCUAUAAUAGAAGCUGUAGAACAUGUUCAUGUAGAUUCUGUGAGUUCGGAUUAGAAACUUCAUGACUCCUCUUUUAUUCGUCUGUCUGUUUAAUCUCCUCUGUGUGUCUGACCCUCUUGUUCCCCCCUCUGGUGAUCUCCACAGGGUCUGACCUGACGUGAGGUCAAUGAUGUCAGUCUUGACCUGUGGUGACCCCUGUGAGGACCCUUGACCGCUGAGAGCUCCAACAAUAGAGUGUCACCCUCGGGGGUGAGGAAGAGGAGAAAAGGGACCGUGACGAGCGGUAAAACAAGUCUUAAACUCACCUCCUUUAUUCUUCUUCUCUGAUGGUUGGGGUCUGACUCCGGGUUCAGGUCCAGUCCGGGUGUUUCCAAACAUCAGCGCUCGGUCGUCUGAGGAGGUCACUGAGACUCUGAAGCUGGUUAGGAGACAGGAAAUAAGAGAAGGAAGGAGGAAAGGAUGAGUGUAGGAGUGGUACCUGGAUUAAAGUCAGUGCUCUUUAGUGUGUAACCUCCCCAUGUGAUGAAUAUCUAAUUAGACUUUUUUUUUAAUACACAUCGUAAAAUCCAAUUAGUCCACACAAAAUCAGAACAUUACUCUCCCAAGGUGACAAUAGAUUAAAAUAGAUUGGCAAUUUCAUCUGAUCCUGUAAAAGAUGCUUCAUCUCACUUUUUUCUCAUUAAUCUGCCGCUGUCAGCGCGAGCGCCGUAAUCACUGAAACCGGCGCCAAUUCCAGGCCCACAUAUCAACUUCCUGUUCGAUGGUUCGCACCGCGUUCAGAAACACUCAAAUACAAAGUCUGAGGGAAAUCUAAUCUACAUUUAUGUCCUCAGGACUGUUUUAUUAUGUCUUAAAAAAACUAAAAGGUUUAUUUUGUUUAUUUAAUCAGUGUUUAUGUUUGAGAAUCAAAUAUUUCAUUUGAAAAUAAAUACUAUAUUUUGUUUUAUUUUGUCUGAUGGCGACACUAUGACUCCCACCUUAACUAGUCUGAACUCUGCAGGUGUCUUUUUGUUCACAUUACUCAUAAUCUAACUGCAGUUCCAUGAACGCCCACUAGAGGCUGGCUGCAGAAGCCUUAAAAACCACAUACACAACCAUUCAAAAACACGCUAAUCAUUAUAACUGUAAUACAGUUUCAUAAAAUCUGCAUAUUUGUCCAGUUUAAUUAGGUUUUAAAAACUCUACAAACAUCUCUUUAUGUUUCUAGUAUAGAUAAAAACAUGUGAGUUACCUGUAGACUUGUAAUUUUGCACUUAACCAAGAUUUCAAAAGUCUUUAAAAACCAUCUUUACAGCAUAAACAAACACGUUUACAGCCUGCAGAGCCGUGAGUUUAGUGCUGUAAGUCGAGUGCUAAAGUCAAAGGUACAUUUUCUAAAUUCCUUAAAUGUAAACACAUUUUUUGGGGUUAAAAAACGAGCUUUUAAAUGAACUUUUACACCUUCAGAGUCUAAUAUUUCAUGUCCAGACCUGGUUGUGCAGGUUAGAGCUGAACAGACGAAACAGAUGUAAAAGGUUGUAGUGCAGAGUGAACUGAAGUUAUUACAGUAAACUGAACUUUAAGUGUGCACACACAGGACCCAAUCAACUCUUCAUAUUUAAGUCACUAAAUUUAACCAUUUCAGUAUUAGAGGAUUGGUUCUUGGUACCGAUAAGUGAUCAGUGUCAUACAUGAGUGAAAUGAAGGCCGCUGAAAAAAAGAUGAUUUAAUGUUUUCAUGUGCAGUGGACCGAAAACUUCAGCUUUAAACUUGGAGACCAAAUCUAGUCCUGCUGCAAACUGAAUGACAGUAAGAGUCUGAGAUGCAUUCCUACAAACUGGGACACUGGAGCAACACGUAUUUUAUAUAUGUUAAAUAUUACAUAUCGUGUGAUUUUUCGUUUCUGUGUUUCGUCGGAUCGUCUGAUAAAGAUGAUAAAAUGUUCAUUGAUAACUCAGAGGGAAAUAACUUCUCAGGUUGAACUUUGAGGGUUAAACUCGAUCCAGUCCUGUGCAGAGCUCCGGUCUGACUCCUGUGAUGAGCCGAGGUUCUCCUCCAUCACUGAUCACCUCUGUUAGCAUCUAUCUGUGUGACUGUGACCUGCUUACAGUUUACAGCAGCAGCAGCAGCAGCGUUGCUUUCAGGUUGCAUCACUCAGACCUGCAACUGUGUUUGCACGGCUUCCUCACUUUGAGCUAAUGCAACUAUCAAAGAGCGCGCCUGAGAAACAUGCUCCCACUGCAGCUCAGGAGUGAAUUCAAUCAAACAAUCCGACUCAGCUUCAAUCUUAUCUCCCUCUCAAACACACACCGCAGCUUUUCUUCCUCACUUCCUCCUCCGAACUUCGCCUCCAGGAAGCUGCUCGGCACUUUGGCAGCCGUAAACGCCAGAAACACGGCGAUAUAAAGGAGCGAUUGUUGGUUUUUAUUCUCGUAAGGCUUUGUGUCCUGCUAAGAUAGUGUGUAAGGUGUGUUCAGAAUCAAAAACUCUGCGUCUUUUGUCGAGUCUGUGAAAUUUACACUUUUUUAAAAACUGCCUUUUGAAGUUUUGGCUCCUGAGAGAGAGAGAGAGAGAGAAAGGAGACAAAGCUAAAGUAUGAGGUGUGUAACAGGACAGGACACACACACACACACACACACACACAAAAACACACACAAAAACACACACAUAAACACACACACGGUCUCUCAGCAGGCUGCCAGGUUCCUUCUGAACAAGCCAAGGAUGAAACCCAAAGCUAACGUGUGUGUUCUCGCUCUGACCACAGCUGCUCCGCUCUCACGCUCCCUGAGGUGUGUCUCUCUCUCUCUCUCUCUCUCUCUUUCACACACACACACACACACACACACACACACACACACACACACACACACACACACACUAUAGGUAUGAGAUAGCGUCUGAAACUGAACAAACACGGAGGCAGAGGAGAGGUUGUCGUCCUCUGCUCUCCUCUCAUCAUCUUAUCAAUCAGAGCCGGGUCACGACCACAGAGGCAGCGCAGAUGAACUCCCGCCGCUGCCGCCACAAAUGAGGAGGGGGUGGGGGGGUCAUGACCACGGUGGCACAGGAAUGAACCCUUG